Molecule: non-coding RNA, 704 nt
Organism: Benincasa hispida (wax gourd)
Lineage: Eukaryota; Viridiplantae; Streptophyta; Magnoliopsida; Cucurbitales; Cucurbitaceae
Source: RefSeq, a predicted model, not a curated record
UUUUAUUUCCCCCUUCUUCUUGGCGUCUCCCGAGAACCCCCCCCUCGGUGUUUUUCUUCUUCGCACCCUAACAACCGUCCACCGCCUCCGUUCCUCCCUCGCCUCCGAUUGCGCCGCCACGCCGAACGUCCUCCUCACCGUCAGCCUACACAGCCGCUCAGCUACUUUGCAAGCCCUCCGCUCGUCCGUGACCCGCGCGUUGAAGCCAAGCACCACGAGGAUCGGACAUUGUGCGAGCUGCUCGCCCAACUUUUCUCCUCCGCGAGCCGCUCGUCCAGUCAGUCUCCUCCGUCGUCUCGCCUAGUUUCGACCGUACGUGAGCACCUGCUUCAAACCGCAACGUCGCUCCAGCUGCACGUUCGCCGCCCCAGCCGUACCGCUGUCGGUCGCCUUCGCCCUGCCGCGUCGAAUCCGUCUUGAACUUCGUCAAAUCUGUUGGGCCUAAGCUGUCAAGGAGUUUGGGAGUUAAAAGGUGGCACCGUCAAGGAAGGUGGAAUUGAUUUUUAUUCUUUGGGUAAAGGUAGAGAUGCACUAGUGAUGGACAAGCGGAAUUUGUGAUCGAGCCACUGGGACUAGUUUUGUACUUUCGCUCAUGAGACUAAGAUUUCCUUUCAUGUUUUGCUUUAUUUUUAGUUUUGAUAUUUGAAACCUACUAUUAAGAAUUGUUUUCAAACUUAUUUAUUAACAUUUGUGAUUUUUGGGUA